This 231-nucleotide ribosomal RNA is filed under the name uncultured Enterobacterales bacterium. RNAcentral describes it as "partial 16S ribosomal RNA". It matches the Rfam family "Bacterial small subunit ribosomal RNA", at positions 99 to 334 of the family's 1533-position model. The record is from RNAcentral. Lineage: Bacteria; Pseudomonadati; Pseudomonadota; Gammaproteobacteria; Enterobacterales.
CGGACGGGUGAGUAAUGUCUGGGAAACUGCCUGAUGGAGGGGGAUAACUACUGGAAACGGUAGCUAAUACCGCAUAACGUCGCAAGACCAAAGAGGGGACCUUCGGGCCUCUUGCCAUCAGAUGUGCCCAGAUGGGAUUAGCUUGUUGGUGGGGUAACGGCUCACCAAGGCGACGAUCCCUAGCUGGUCUGAGAGGAUGACCAGCCACACUGGAACUGAGACACGGUCCAG